RNAcentral lists this long non-coding RNA (4838 nucleotides) under Sus scrofa (pig). RNAcentral describes it as "lncRNA (ENSSSCG00005002423.1)". The record is from RNAcentral. Lineage: Eukaryota; Metazoa; Chordata; Mammalia; Artiodactyla; Suidae.
AGUGCGGGUGGACACAGAAACUAGCUCCUUUUUUGUUUUCUCUGGAGACUCUCUUAAUUAGCUGAAAUUGGAUGAUUUUGAUUUGCUUCUUUUCUCUUCCCUUCGUGUCCCACUUAUUCGCUUCUCUUUCUCCUUUCUUUCUGGUAUCUUUUGGCGACUUCGCACCCCUGGACCCCUCUAUAGUUGGCCGCUGCUGUCGAAAUGUUGACUGUGAUUGUGAUAACUGGUUUUGAUGAACCACUGUGUGUAGGUUUUGUGGUCGGGGGGGAGGUGAGGUAAGCUGUUGAUUCCAGAGCUGCUGUUUGUAGCCUUCUUGAAGUGGAGGUGGGUGGCGGUGGUGAGUGCCCUGGCUCUUGGAAAUAUGUGGUCCUGUGGCUGCCACGGAGGUUGGCGCAUCCCUGGAGGGUGGACCUGGGAGAUUCCUUUUAAAGUGGCCCUCCACCUGUUUGGCAGCCAAGAAGGUAUACUCCCAGGCUGCGGCCCUGGAGCCUCAGCACAGGAGGGGCUAUAGGAAGGGUUCUAGAGGGUCUGCAUAGAGACCCUGUCUUUGUGUCCAGCCCCAUCUGCUUUUGCGUGAGUAUUUCAUCUUCUGUAUUGUGUCUACUGUCAUCUGCCCUUGUACUCUGCACAGUUCUCUUGGAACAUGUUAUAUUCACUGAAGGGUCCUAGUGUCAAAUUUGGGUCAUUCCAUGGACAAAGGAGUGGAUCUGAGUAUUAUCCAUGUACAUUUAAUGAAUUAUAAUAUUUGCUUUCCUGUCAACCCUUGGAUGCCCUUUGAUUGCCCUUGCAAAGAAGUGCUUUUUAAAACAUGGCAGUAUAUUCCUCAUGGUCUUUGAAAGCUUAAUUCUUUUAAGAGCUUCAAUUUGCUAUUGACAUUGAACACAGUUAGGAAUUAGGGCCGAGACGUAAGUGCCAGUAAGGGGUUUGCUGCAGUGGACUUGCAGUUGCCUUCCUCCCUUGUUUUAAAAGCCCCUCUAAUUUCUUAACAUUCUCCUGUUACCCUUGGAAGAGUCUUGGCUGUGGUUCUGGAUCAUGGAGGCUUCUAUUUACCAUGGAGACGACUUUUCUGAACAGGGUUUAAGGCUGUCUCUCGAAUCCACUGUGGGGCUCAGUGUGCACCACCACAGUCCCACAGAGGAACCCAGCCAGUGCCAGCUGCUUAUUAAGAGAUUUGGUGCCAAUUUGCUGGCACAUGAUUUGAAAGUCAAAGUCUCCCGCUCCCACCCGCCAGUGUAUAUAUAUACAUAGACAGAUAUUUGUUCCCCCCACUGCUGACAGUGUUCUAAGAAUAGCUGUCUUGCCUGGCGCUGAGAGCAAACCCGCCCGCCUGCGGAGGUGUUUACAGUUUGGGCCUGUGCUGCAGUCUUGGUUGACUUAGCAGCCUGGCAGAGCAGCCGCAGUUCGCCGGGCGCUGUCUGCUUCUCUAGGCUGCAGGAGGGCCCCUCCCAGCCGGGCAGGAGAGUGCAGGGAGGUGAGGGUGGCCUGGGGCCCUGUGCCUGUUUCCUGGCCUGCCCCCUUGCUCUUCUGUGCCCCUGCACAGCCAGCCUGCAGUCUGGGCAGAAGGUGGUGGCUUUUUGUCCUCACAUAAAACCCAAGCACUCAGGGCUCGGGGUAGGGAUGCUGGCAACCGUGACUGGUCAGAUCUUUCUGGAGGCCCUUGCCAAGCUUCUUCGCAUCUUUCUUCUGAAUCGAAUCUUAUGGAGUCUCUUUGAUGUCUCUGUCCUUUUGAGUGAGAGGUAAUACAGAAGAAAGAAUAGAAAAUCAUGCCAUGGGAACCUGGAAAAUUUUUAGAAAUGUUUGACAUACUUCACAUAGAUGUACGGCUCUUAAAUGUGACCCGCUCAGAAUGCUGCCUCUCCCUUCUUCCUCCUUUUCUAAGUCUCAGAACACCCUCUGGGAAGCCAGCGUUUUCUGAUGUCAAAGUGCCUUUCUGCCUGCAUGGGAUCCGUCAGUCUGGAGAGUUACACCGUGACCCAGGCUAUGGGUGUGCGUGGAUGGCGAAUCUUGAGUUUUAAAAUAGUGAUGUAUAGCUUCUGUCUCCAUCUGAGGAUUUAGGCCACAAGACCUGCCCUGUCUUGGGGAGGUUUUGUGGUGGCAUCGUUAGCUUCUUUUUGAGGCAGCCAGAGGACAGAGGUGAACACCUGUACUAUGCAUUGCUGUAGAAAUAUUUGAUCUGUAUUUCUAAUUCGUACUGUUUUUCUCUCUACCACAGGGGCACUUGAAAAUGAUGUUUGUGUUGUCUCCUAUUCAUGUGAUUUGAGUAUGGAUUGCUUUUCUUUGAAUUUCCACUAAAAAUGGUACUUUGGCCUUUAAAGCUGUUUUUGUAAGGACUUUUCGUCCAACCCAGCUUGUUUUCCAGAUAGAUCUUGGAAAUUACGAAGAACAUAGCUAUAAUUUCUCCCUUGAUUGGCAGCAGAGAGCUUUCCCGGACAAAAAUAAGGCUGCUCUGUGCCAAAUGGUUGACUUUUCUAGAAUAAAAACUCUAAAGGGUUUGCAAAGAGUCCUCUGGUUAAUAUAUUGGCAUUCCCAGAACCCCGGCCGCCUGCCAGUCACCACUUAAUGAGGACGCAGAGUGUCUGGCUCAAAUCCCCCUGCGCAGAGUGGGGGGUGGGGGUUGAUGUCCGCACCCUUUAUUAAUUUUUAAUGACUGUACUUUUGUUUUGCACAUUUUGCUCUGCACCUCCUCAUGACCAACAGCCACCAUGCCACCCCUCCCUCAUUCGUUUAUUUACUCAUUUACUUGGCAUCAGAAAAAAAAAGUUGAGAUUUUCAAGGUUAAGACUCCUGCUGAGGAUCAAUUCUGUUUGCAUGAGUUCUCUCGUGGCUGGCUUUCUUUUUUUUUCUUAUUCUUUCUUUUUCUACACUCCAGACAGAUUGCUAAUGUUACAGGACAGGCAUAAAUAAAUUACCUCUGUCGGCACCACGCCUGCCCUGCAAGCACACCCUGCGGCUGGUCGGCUGGGCGCGGGUACCCAGGAGCCUGCUGGUGUGCGUGUGUGGAAGACCUCUGCCUACUGCCUGGGAUUCUGUGACUUGGCUCAGAAGCCAAAAGGGCGUGUCUCCUGCAUUUAUUUUUGGCAGGACUGCAGGGCACUUUCCCUGGCCCGUGACCCUGCCCCUUGCUGGCCCCUCGUACCCCCACAUCCCACCCCCUGUGUCAGGGGACAUGGCACCUCGUUUUCCUCCCAGGGUCUUGCUUCUGACGGACCCACACUUUGUUCUUAGCUGCUCAGGCUCUUGGGGUUCUCAGAGCCCAGUCUCAAGCCAUUUAGGGCUGCGUUCUGUCUACAGGUGCAGACGUUGAGAACAAACACCCUGAGAUAAGUGUGUGCUGCAGGGGGUGGGGGUUGGCACGCCGUGGGCACAGUGAACUUUCACCCCCGGCCGUUUGGCUAGUCAGCUGGCAGAGUGACAGGUGUCAUGAACUUAAUGGUCUUGCUCUAGUUGUUGGCAGACACGCUGCUCGUAUUACAAAGCCACCUCCUAAGUUGGGCUGCUGCCAAGUGACUCGCAAGAUCUUGGCUUUGCAGGCAGGAUCUGGGGCCUGGAUGGCUCGAUUGACGGGAAGGUCAGGAAUCGGGUGGGUGUGUAUGACAUCUGUGUCCCCUUAUCCACAUGGUCCCUAAGUGGGCCUGGAAUUUCUCUUCAGAGUAGGGCUGUUCAGGUCCAGGUGCCACAGAAGGGAACCUGUCCCCAGCCCGCUCCGUCCCUGCGGUGGGGAGAGGCCAGGUGGGGACUCAGGUCCAGGGCCCCCUCCUUGGUUCUGCAGAAGCACCCCGCCAACCUCUGUGCAGAGAUUGGGGGACACUUCCAGAGUGAAGCCCCCUGUUCAGAAGGGCACCUCCGGCAGGGGUCGCAGCAGCAGUACCACCUGGCACCAGACCACUCUUGGCAUCUCGUGAACUGACUUAACCCUUCCAGUGGCCCUGGGUCAGGGAUGCCACCACCACACUGACAGACGGCAGUGAGAGGCCUGAAACACCAAGUGAAGAGCCGCUGCCCUGUGAGCAGAGGUGGAGGCAGCUGUGUGCGCCGUCCUCUGGGGCCGGGCUGUAACCCUGGGGCUCGCCCCAAAUUGGGGACCAUGCACAGCGGGCGCUGGGUGGGGGCACCGUGGCGUGUCUCGCCCCAUCCCCAUGCAGGGUUUUAGACCCCUCCUCCCUGCCACCUCUGCUGGUGACUCUGAUUUACACCCCUCACCCCUGCUUCUGCCCUCUGUUUGGUGCCUGGCCUGCCUGUGGGCCCAGCCUCGCGUGGGAGGCUUGGGCUGUUGCUGGCUUGUGUUGUGCACGUAGAACCUCUCGCCCCUGGAAGGAAUCCGAGGGGACGGUUGCCAGGGGUCCUCGGCUCCUGGGAAGCCCCUCGGCUGGUCCCUGGGUGUCGGGUGUUGGUCCCGACUUCUGGGAGGCAGGGGGUGGACCAGGCCUCCCUGCUCAGUGAGACCCGGCAAGGCCCGACCCUGGGGGGAUGUGAAAAGAUGAGCACGUCCGCAGGGUCUCUGUUUUGCUCAUGGGCGUGGGUUCCCCUGUUCAUCCUCACCAGACCCGAGUAUCUGACGUCUGGCACCUGAGCAGAGGCCCCAGAGGUGCAAAAGUCCUGACCCUGCAGGAUGGCCCCUCUCCGCCAACAGCUGCCAGGCAAAUGUGAGCAUGGCCAGUUGGGCAGACGAGGACCUGGGGCUGGCCUAGACCAGGCUCUGCCCUCUAUUUGACCCUGACUUUUAAUUCCAGAGUCUUUCAGGCCUGGCUGAAACCAGGGUCACAGAACUAGUCUCUGAAAUCCUUUUUUCCCCUGAUUAUAUGCUUAUUGGAGAUAAUUAGGAAAACUAGGAAACAAAG